AAUGACCAAAAAGAGAGAGCCGAAAUUGUAAUCUAUGGUUAAUUAUUAGACAAAGACAAUAAGAAUAAACAAGUACAGCAAUAGUAAAUAAAUCAAAAAUAAUAAAAUAAUAUUCUAAAAAUGUAAAAAAAUAAACAUUUUAUGUUUCUCUAUGAUUUUGGUGUUGUAAAUUGUAUAUACCAGAGAAAAGGUACAUUAUGCAAUUACUAAAUAGUUCCUAUAUUACUUAUUACUUAGGUUCUCUCCACGAUUUUAUUCCUAUAAUUUUCAAUUCCUUAUGGGCGAUUUAAGUUUAUAUCUGAAUUGGGUAUACUCUGAACUGAAAUUGGUUUAUUCAUUUGCCUCUCUACUGAUAUUUCCCUUUAGAAACUAUGGAUAAUAUAGAUGAAGUAACAGUUUUAAAAAUCAGGGAUUUAUGUGAGGUGAUAUGUUUGAAAAACCCUGUUUUAUACAAGGAGUUGAGUUACAAGAUGAAUAUUUAAAAAUUGUACCAUUA
Molecule: long non-coding RNA, 496 nt
Filed under: Sitophilus oryzae (rice weevil)
Lineage: Eukaryota; Metazoa; Arthropoda; Insecta; Coleoptera; Curculionidae
Description: uncharacterized LOC115882085, transcript variant X2
Source: RNAcentral